Molecule: ribosomal RNA, 383 nt
Filed under: uncultured eukaryote
Lineage: Eukaryota
Description: partial 18S ribosomal RNA
Rfam family: Eukaryotic small subunit ribosomal RNA
Source: RNAcentral
CAAUAGCGUAUAUUAAAGUUGUUGCAGUUAAAAAGCUCGUAGUUGGAUUUCUGGUAGGAGUGACCGUUCCGAACUUGAUUGUUCGUGUAUUGUGUUUUCUCCAGCCAUCCUUGUGGAGAACUUUUCUUGCAUUAAUUUGUAGGGAUUGGGACCCGCAUCGUUUACUGUGAAAAAAUUAGAGUGUUUAAAGCAGGCAAUCGCUUGAAUACAUUAGCAUGGAAUAAUAAGAUAGGACUUUGGUACUAUUUUGUUGGUUUGCAUACCAAAUUAAUGAUCAACAGGAACAGUUUGAGGAUAUUCGUAUGAACAUGUCAGAGGUGAAAUUCUUGGAUUUUGAUCAGACGAACUACUGCGAAAGCAUUUAUCAAGGAUGGUUUCAUUAA